Molecule: ribosomal RNA, 563 nt
Filed under: uncultured bacterium
Lineage: Bacteria
Description: bacterial SSU rRNA
Rfam family: Bacterial small subunit ribosomal RNA
Source: RNAcentral
AUAUUGGUCAAUGGAGGCAACUCUGAACCAGCCAUGCCGCGUGAAGGAAGAAUGUCCUACGGAUUGUAAACUUCUUUUAUUUGGGAAGAAACCUCUGGUCGAGAACCAGGGCUGACGGUACCAAAAGAAUAAGGACCGGCUAACUCCGUGCCAGCAGCCGCGGUAAUACGGAGGGUCCAAGCGUUAUCCGGAAUCAUUGGGUUUAAAGGGUUCGCAGGCGGUUUAAUAAGUCAGUGGUGAAAUCUCGAGGCUCAACCUCGAAACUGCCAUUGAUACUGUUAGACUUGAAUACAGUUGGAGUAGGCGGAAUGUGUAGUGUAGCGGUGAAAUGCUUAGAUAUUACACAGAACACCCGAUAGCGAAGGCAGCUUACUAAAACUGUAUUGACGCUCAUGAACGAAAGCGUGGGGAGCGAACAGGAUUAGAUACCCUGGUAGUCCACGCCGGAAACUAUGGAUACUCGAUAUUGGCGAUUACGUCAGUGUCUAACCAAAGUGAUAGUAUCCCACCUGGGGAGUACGGGCGCAAGAUUGAAACUCAAAGGAUUGACGGGGCCACACACA